Long non-coding RNA from Chenopodium quinoa (quinoa), 1615 nucleotides. RefSeq lists it as uncharacterized. The transcript is spliced from 5 exons. Lineage: Eukaryota; Viridiplantae; Streptophyta; Magnoliopsida; Caryophyllales; Amaranthaceae. The record is from RefSeq and is a predicted model, not a curated record.
CGACGCUUUUAUGUGUCGAAUCAGUUAUUGACAAGAAAAAGCGUCGACAAAUUUGUAUGAUUUGCACGUGACUCAAGGCAACCCAAGGAAAAUUAAAAAGAAAAUAAAAAAAACAAAUGUAAAAAACCGGCUUAUACCCACGAAUAUACCCUAAGUACUCUCUCUCUCUCUCUCUCUCUCUCUCUCUAACUCUUACAUCUCAGCACCUCAACACAAACUCCUUCGUCACCGAAAUCCUCUUCUUCGAUCCCUCAAUUUCUGGAUUUUCUCUCCUCUUCUCAUGGUGCUCGAGGUUUCGAUUUCAAAAUUAGGGUUUUCAAUUUUUACUGACAUUCUAUUAUUCCCCUUUUUUAUUGGAAUUUUCAGGCAACUAUAAUCUGCAUCGUCAAUUCGGAGUGGAUUCGUAAUAGUGAUUCCUCGCCCUCCAGCUCAUUCUGAUGUUGUUAAUCUCAUCUACGGCGCUAAAACUCAGUGUUUGUAUGGAGGGGCACCCAAAGUCCCACAAUUGAAGGAGUUAGAUAGAGGAGUAGAUAUUGUGGUAGCUACACCUGGUCGUUUGAAUGAUAUACUAGAGAUAGAGAAUUAGCUUGAAUCAGGUCUCCUAUUUGGUGCUUGAUGAGGCAGAUCGGAUGCUUGUCAUGGGUUUUGAGCCAAAAAAUAGAAAAAUUGUGAAGGAGGUUCCCACUCGUCGCCAAACACUGAUGUAUAAUGCAACAUGGCCUAAAGAGGUCCAAAAGAUUACAGCUGAUCUAUUGUCAAAUGCUGUCCAAGUUAAUAUUUGUAACACAGAUGAACUUGUUGCAAACAAGUCUAUCACUCAGGGAUUUGGAGGCUUUGGCUACAAAAUGUGAGCUUAAGGAGGAAGAGAGAGGUUUCUGUAUAGUGGUAUACUGCUAUAGAUUAAGAAACCAUAAUUGUGGCUUUCGACGACUAGACGUGAAACGUGAAUAGUCAAGAAGAAAAAGGCUGUAACAAUUGCAGAUCCAUGAAGAUUAAUUGCUGAGUUGGUGGUACCCUGGUAUUUGGUAAUUCUGGUAUUUGAUUGCAGAUCAACCAGAUACAAAAACCCAUCUGGUAAUUCUGGUAUUUACAAUUCAUGUUGUUCUGCCUGACACGGCUGCUAUUCCUUGUCUCAAAUUGUUGUCAAAAGAUAAGAAGGUGCUUCUACUAGUUGAUAAUGCGGCAUUGUAGUGGAUAAUCAUGGACAGCCUGUUGGUGGUACCCUGGUAUUUGGUUGUUGUGCUCCUCGUUCGAUUGCUGAGUUGUCUUCAUAUGUGGUGAUUGCUAGUAAUGGAAAGAUGGAAUUAUAAGCUUGUGUGUGUGUGUAUGUGUGUGUGUAUAAGCCUAUAUUGUGUAAUGUACUAAUUUAUACUUUGUAUUUUUUUUUUAAGAUUGGAAAAGGCAAUGUAGGUGCAACAACAGAAUAGACCGGGACACUUGAGCAUCAAAACAAGCAACUACAUCAUCUAUAACGCCAUCAUCUAUCUAUUUUGGUUAUUAGUCUUAAUUAUAUUAGUGAUGUAUUAAUUUAGGGACAAGCUACUAUAAUAUGACUUUUUAAAAAAAAUAAUUAAUUGUGUUGAUAUUUUCGUUUAAAAUUUGGUAAUUUAAUCAA